This 460-nucleotide ribosomal RNA is filed under the name uncultured bacterium. RNAcentral's name for it is "partial 16S ribosomal RNA". It matches the Rfam family "Bacterial small subunit ribosomal RNA", at positions 338 to 795 of the family's 1533-position model. The record is from RNAcentral.
CCUACGGGCGGCAGCAGUGAGGAAUAUUGGUCAAUGGACGAGAGUCUGAACCAGCCAAGUAGCGUGAAGGAUGACUGCCCUAUGGGUUGUAAACUUCUUUUAUAUGGGAAUAAAAUGUUCCACGUGUGGGAUUUUGUAUGUACCAUAUGAAUAAGGAUCGGCUAACUCCGUGCCAGCAGCCGCGGUAAUACGGAGGAUCCGAGCGUUAUCCGGAUUUAUUGGGUUUAAAGGGAGCGUAGGUGGAUUGUUAAGUCAGUUGUGAAAGUUUGCGGUUCAACCGUAAAAUUGCAGUUGAAACUGGCAGUCUUGAGUACAGUAGAGGUGGGCGGAAUUCGUGGUGUAGCGGUGAAAUGCUUAGAUAUCACGAAGAACUCCGAUUGCGAAGGCAGUUCACUGGACUGCAACUGACACUGAGGCUCGAAAGUGUGGGUAUCAAACAGGAUUAGAUACCCCAGUAGUC